UACAGAGGUGGCAAGCGUUGUUCGGAAUUACUGGGCGUAAAGGGCGCGUAGGCGGCCAUCUAAGUCAGACGUGAAAUCCCCCGGCUUAACCUGGGAACUGCGUCUGAUACUGGACGGCUUGAGUAUGGGAGAGGGAUGUAGAAUUCCAGGUGUAGCGGUGAAAUGCGUAGAUAUCUGGAGGAACACCGAUGGCGAAGGCAGCCCCCUGGGCCGACAUUGACGCUCAGGCACGAAAGCGUGGGGAGCAAACAGG
Molecule: ribosomal RNA, 253 nt
Filed under: uncultured prokaryote
Description: partial 16S ribosomal RNA
Rfam family: Bacterial small subunit ribosomal RNA
Source: RNAcentral